UUUGUUGGAUCUUGGGGCAGC
This 21-nucleotide microRNA is filed under the name Oreochromis niloticus (Nile tilapia). Its description in RNAcentral is "oni-miR-10792". The record is from miRBase by way of RNAcentral. Lineage: Eukaryota; Metazoa; Chordata; Actinopteri; Cichliformes; Cichlidae.